RNAcentral lists this ribosomal RNA (449 nucleotides) under uncultured bacterium. RNAcentral describes it as "partial 16S ribosomal RNA". It matches the Rfam family "Bacterial small subunit ribosomal RNA", at positions 29 to 523 of the family's 1533-position model. The record is from RNAcentral.
AACGAACGCUGGCGGCAUGCCUAACACAUGCAAGUCGAACGAGACCUUCGGGUCUAGUGGCGCACGGGUGCGUAACGCGUGGGAAUCUGCCCUUGGGUUCGGAACAACAGUUGGAAACGACUGCUAAUACCGGAUGAUGACUUCGGUCCAAAGAUUUAUCGCCAAAGGAUGAGCCCGCGUAGGAUUAGCUUGUUGGUGAGGUAAAAGCUCACCAAGGCGACGAUCCUUAGCUGGUCUGAGAGGAUGAUCAGCCACACUGGGACUGAGACACGGCCCAGACUCCUGCGGGAGGCAGCAGUGGGGAAUAUUGGACAGUGGGCGAAAGCCUGAUCCAGCAAUGCCGCGUGAGUGAUGAAGGCCUUAGGGUUGUAAAGCUCUUUUACCCGGGAUGAUAAUGACAGUACCGGGAGAAUAAGCCCCGGCUAACUCCGUGCCAGCCGCCGCUGUAA